UACGAGGGGGGCAAGCGUUGUUCGGAAUUAUUGGGCGUAAAGGGUGCGUAGGCGGUUUGGUAAGUCUUAUGUGAAAUCUACAGGCUCAACUUGAAGUCUGCAUGAGAAACUGCCGGGCUUGAGUAUGGGAGAGGUGAGUGGAAUUCCUGGUGUAGCGGUGAAAUGCGUAGAUAUCAGGAGGAACACCUGUGGCGAAAGCGGCUCACUGGACCAUAACUGACGCUGAUGCACGAAAGCUAGGGGAGCAAACAGG
RNAcentral lists this ribosomal RNA (253 nucleotides) under uncultured bacterium. RNAcentral's name for it is "partial 16S ribosomal RNA". It matches the Rfam family "Bacterial small subunit ribosomal RNA", at positions 524 to 776 of the family's 1533-position model. The record is from RNAcentral.